Molecule: ribosomal RNA, 995 nt
Filed under: uncultured organism
Description: bacterial SSU rRNA
Rfam family: Bacterial small subunit ribosomal RNA
Source: RNAcentral
GGGGAAUAUUGCACAAUGGGGGAAACCCUGAUGCAGCGACGCCGCGUGGAGGAAGAAGGUCUUCGGAUUGUAAACUCCUGUUGUUGAGGAAGAUAAUGACGGUACUCAACAAGGAAGUGACGGCUAACUACGUGCCAGCAGCCGCGGUAAAACGUAGGUCACAAGCGUUGUCCGGAAUUACUGGGUGUAAAGGGAGCGCAGGCGGGAAGACAAGUUGGAAAUGAAAUCUAUGGGCUCAACCCAUAAACUGCUUUCAAAACUGUUUUUCUUGAGUAGUGCAGAGGUAGGCGGAAUUCCCGGUGUAGCGGUGGAAUGCGUAGAUAUCGGGAGGAACACCAGUGGCGAAGGCGGCCUACUGGGCACCAACUGACGCUGAGGCUCGAAAGUGUGGGUAGCAAACAGGAUUAGAUACCCUGGUAGUCCACACCGUAAACGAUGAUUACUAGGUGUUGGAGGAUUGACCCCUUCAGUGCCGCAGUUAACACAAUAAGUAAUCCACCUGGGGAGUACGACCGCAAGGUUGAAACUCAAAGGAAUUGACGGGGGCCCGCACAAGCAGUGGAGUAUGUGGUUUAAUUCGACGCAACGCGAAGAACCUUACCAAGUCUUGACAUCCUGCGACGAUGCUGGAAACAGCAUUUUCCUUCGGGACGCAGAGACAGGUGGUGCAUGGUUGUCGUCAGCUCGUGUCGUGAGAUGUUGGGUUAAGUCCCGCAACGAGCGCAACCCUUACUGUCAGUUACUACGCAAGAGGACUCUGGCAGGACUGCCGUUGACAAAACGGAGGAAGGUGGGGAUGACGUCAAAUCAUCAUGCCCUUUAUGACUUGGGCUACACACGUACUACAAUGGCGUUAAACAAAGAGAAGCAAGACCGCGAGGUGGAGCAAAACUCAGAAACAACGUCCCAGUUCGGACUGCAGGCUGCAACUCGCCUGCAUGAAGUCGGAAUUGCUAGUAAUCGCGGAUCAGCAUGCCGCGGUGAAUACGUUCCCG